GUUCGUUAACAGCUUUCAACAUGCGAGCACAUGAAUUUUUGAGUCGUUUUCCAAAAAUAUUAUUUAUUGAAUGCGUGAGCGGAGGAGAGGCAUAAAUAAACACUUUUUCCAUGUCUGCUCUACACAAAUACGAUCUAAACAAACUUCGUUUUCCCUUAUUUUAUAAUAGAAAAAACAUUAAACAAUGAAACUUUAAUUUGUUAUAUCUCUUAAACGAAUGCCGUCUCCCACCAAUUUCUUGCGGGGAAUUUAGAAAUACCUCCCUUACAACAUAUUUAAGUGGCAAUACAAUCGGAGGUGUGUAAUCUUUUAUACAGUUUUACCUUAAUUUGUAACGCGAAAUAAUAAAAUUGAUAUAAUAAAGUGCGCCUUGCGUACGUUUAACGUGUCGUGCGACUAUCAUAUUCGUAAUUAACCGUGUUUCCGCGAGUCUGUAUAGUGCCAUGUGAGUGUGUGAAAGAGCAGCAAGAUUGAACAGGAGAGAAGAGCCAAAGGUCUGAAAAUACAACAAUGGAGCACGACAACCUUACGGGAUCAACAUCGUAGCCGUAUAACUAUGAUUUUACAAGUGGUUCAUCGAGCACAAAAUUGUAUCUCUUACAUUUACAACUUACUUUUGAUAGAAAU
Long non-coding RNA from Formica exsecta, 627 nucleotides. RefSeq lists it as uncharacterized. The record is from RefSeq and is a predicted model, not a curated record. Lineage: Eukaryota; Metazoa; Arthropoda; Insecta; Hymenoptera; Formicidae. The transcript is spliced from 3 exons.